Molecule: long non-coding RNA, 633 nt
Organism: Sceloporus undulatus (fence lizard)
Lineage: Eukaryota; Metazoa; Chordata; Lepidosauria; Squamata; Phrynosomatidae
Exons: 3
Source: RefSeq, a predicted model, not a curated record
UUUGGGUUUCAGACAGAGCUUCUUCUGACAGAAAAAUGGAAGAUGGAGCUUACAGUGAAUAGUAUUUGACUUGGGAGAUAUUAUGCCUUCCAGGUGAAACAGAACAGAUGCUCUAGAGGCAGAUGGAGUAGAAGGUUUGUGAGUUUUUUGUGUCAAAACAAGAAGGACAAGCAGGAAGAUAAGAUGUAAGGCAGCAGCAUAUGGCACAUGGCUUCCCAAAUCUCAAUGGGCUGCAUUUCCCAUUGUCCAUCAUGCAGAAAGUCCAGUAACAUCUGGAUGGCUCCGCAUUUCUCAGUGCUCUGUAAUAAGAUGAUGGACUCAUUUCAUAGAAGAUCAUCUUAAAAGAGGGGUGAGAACUGAAUGGACUGUAAUUCCCAACAGUCAUAACCAGCAUGGCCAACAGGGAGGAAUUCUGGGAGUUGCAGUACAAAAACAUUGGAAGAGACUCACAAUUCCCAUUCUUGGGAUAUCACUUCUAAUAUUGUGCCUACCAACUGCAGUGUUUUUCAGAGUACUUUCAUUUAACAUAUUUGCUUUUUUUCUCAAAAGUUGCUAGAUCUCAAUCAAUCAGCUGAUUGUGCCAACCAAUAAGUCAGUGAAAUGCUAAACUCAUCACCUUUCUUGUUAUGAAUA